GAGUUUGAUCGUGGCUCAGGAUGAACGCUGGCGGCGUGCCUAACACAUGCAAGUCGAACGAAGCAAUCGGGAUGAAGUUUUCGGAUCGGAUUCCUGGUUGACUGAGUGGCGGACGGGUGAGUAACGCGUGGAUAACCUGCCUCACACUGGGGGAUAACAGUUAGAAAUGGCUGCCAAUACCGCAUAAGCGCACAGUACCGCAUGGUACGGUGUGAAAAACCCAGGUGGUGUGAGAUGGAUCCGCGUCUGAUUAGCCAGUUGGCGGGUAACGGCCCACCAAAGCGACGAUCAGUAGCCGACCUGAGAGGGUGACCGGCCACAUUGGGACUGAGACACGGCCCAAACUCCUACGGGAGGCAGCAGUGGGGAAUAUUGCACAAUGGGCGAAAGCCUGAUGCAGCGACGCCGCGUGAGUGAAGAAGUAUCUCGGUAUGUAAAGCUCUAUCAGCAGGGAAGAAAUGACGGUACCUGAC
RNAcentral lists this ribosomal RNA (473 nucleotides) under uncultured microorganism. RNAcentral describes it as "bacterial SSU rRNA". It matches the Rfam family "Bacterial small subunit ribosomal RNA", at positions 9 to 483 of the family's 1533-position model. The record is from RNAcentral.